GCACUCAUGCACGCUGUCUUCAGCUGUAUGUUAUCUCAAAUAAUUACCCUCGCUUCUGGCUGUCCCUGGCGACUUCUGCUGCUAAAAAAGCUACUCAUUGUCGGAGACUGAAGAGGGAUUUCCAGCCUGCUUCUUGUGGCCGGGCAACGGCUCUUAAUUAACCACUCAGGUAUUGUGGGAGCUCCCAGCCCGGCUCGCUUCCAUAUGGCGCGAACAUGUCCGCAGUGAUAAGCACGGGAGGAAAUACUGUAUCAAAAAGGAGCUCACACAACCGAAAGCUUGUGCAAAUUAUUUUUAAUGAUUCUUCUCUGAGAUACCAGCUGAGGCUAUAAAAAGGAGGCUGCUGUGUUUAUUUUGUCUACAGACUGCCCAAUGGGAUGAAGUUUCCAGUGUGAUGUCAUUGGAAACAUUGCUCCUCAGAGCAGUGAAAUUAGCCCGAAAGAAGAGGAACAUGGAGCCUCACUUUCCAAUCAGGUGUGAUUGCCCUCCAAACUCAGAGGUCACAGCAAGCCCCCACUGGAUUCUUCCAUCCACCCUACCACCAUGCCAACCCAGCCCUCCUACAAGACCAGGGAGCACAUGCCCUGGCCACACCCCUGUCCUAUUCCAGUGUUUGGCUCAUGCAUACUGCCUGGGUCAGAAUUAUGCGCAGCACCAUGGGGCUUGGACCAGGCAAGCUGGAAGCCUGUCUGUAAUUCUUUGUUUAGGUCAAGCAAAGGAACACUCACGGGUAAUUCGCAGUGUCUGUACUCAGAGGUAUUGCCAAUCUCAUUAUCAUUAAUUUUUGCAUAUUUAACUACAGUUUUUAAUUAGAUGGUAUUUUAUUAUUCAUGCACAUAAUUUGUGUCGAAGUCUGACUGCUCCCUUGAAGGAAAAAAAGGGGGGGAGCGCAGGAGGCUGAUAUUUCUGAAUUGGAAGUCAGGGUUGGUGCUUCUAUUUGGCUGGAGAGCAGAGCGGCCUCUGAGUCUAUAAUGGUUCUCUUUUAAUUUUGCUAAUAGCUAUCAUGUUAUGUACCUUUAUAAAUUUGUUAAAUCCAGAGUGCUGGGAGUAGUCUCUGUACGCGGUGACUGUAAACAGCCCGCUCUGUUUGGUCUUCGCAUACAAACUGUUUGCUCAAGCUCCUUGAUGUAUUAUUAAAACGGGUAAUGGGCCCCUGGGAACGCAUCUAGUUAUAGGCCUUCAUUUGCAGAAUAAACCAUGCGUUGUUUUCAUCUUUA
Mus musculus (house mouse) is the source of this 1217-nucleotide long non-coding RNA. RefSeq annotates it as predicted gene, 36670. The transcript has 3 exons. The record is from RefSeq and is a predicted model, not a curated record. Lineage: Eukaryota; Metazoa; Chordata; Mammalia; Rodentia; Muridae.